UGGGGAAUAUUGGACAAUGGGGGAAACCCUGAUCCAGCAAUGCCGCGUGAAUGAUGAAGGCCUUCGGGUUGUAAAGUUCUUUCACCUGUGACGAUGAUGACGGUAGCAGGAGAAGAAGCCCCGGCUAACUCCGUGCCAGCAGCCGCGGUAAGACGGAGGGGGCUAGCGUUGUUCGGAAUGACUGGGCGUAAAGGGUGCGUAGGCGGUUUUUUAAGUAAGGCGUGAAAGCCCUGGGCUUAACCCAGGAACUGCGCUUUAAACUAGAAAACUUGAGUGUGAGAGAGGAAAGCGGAAUUCCUAGUGUAGAGGUGAAAUUCGUAGAGAUUAGGAAGAACACCAGAGGCGAAGGCGGCUUUCUGGCUCACAACUGACGCUGAGGCACGAUAGCGUGGGGAGCAAACAGGAUUAGAUACCCCUGUAGUCC
This 424-nucleotide ribosomal RNA is filed under the name uncultured bacterium. RNAcentral's name for it is "bacterial SSU rRNA". It matches the Rfam family "Bacterial small subunit ribosomal RNA", at positions 355 to 796 of the family's 1533-position model. The record is from RNAcentral.